This 177-nucleotide small RNA is filed under the name Corynebacterium tuscaniense. Its description in RNAcentral is "c-di-AMP sequence". It matches the Rfam family "c-di-AMP riboswitch aptamer (ydaO/yuaA leader)". From Rfam's summary of the family: This family represents a conserved RNA structure found upstream of the ydaO and yuaA genes in Bacillus subtilis and related genes in other bacteria. The ydaO/yuaA element is thought to act as a genetic "off" switch for the ydaO and yuaA genes in its native state. It is believed that the element may be triggered during osmotic shock leading to activation of ydaO, a predicted amino acid transporter gene, and members of the yuaA-yubG operon which code for KtrA and KtrB K+ transporters. Lineage: Bacteria; Bacillati; Actinomycetota; Actinomycetes; Mycobacteriales; Corynebacteriaceae. The record is from RNAcentral.
AAAUACAUACAGCCGAGUUCCUUAUGUUUGAUCACAUGACAUGAGGAAGCCGGGGAACCGAGAACUUCCCUGGGGUGAACGGGAGGCAAGGGGCGCCAGAAUGGCGCCGGAGUUUCCUGCGGUGACCUCUAGCACCGAACCCGUCAGCUAACCCGGUAGGCGACUGGAAGAUAUGGA